RNAcentral lists this ribosomal RNA (460 nucleotides) under uncultured bacterium. Its description in RNAcentral is "partial 16S ribosomal RNA". It matches the Rfam family "Bacterial small subunit ribosomal RNA", at positions 338 to 795 of the family's 1533-position model. The record is from RNAcentral.
CCUACGGGAGGCAGCAGUGAGGAAUAUUGGUCAAUGGCCGGAAGGCUGAACCAGCCAUGCCGCGUGAAGGUCAGUGCCCUAUGGGCGUUAAACUUCUUUUGUGCGGGAGCAAUAAUGGUCACGUGUGGCCAGACGAGAGUACCGUACGAAUAAGCAUCGGCUAACUCCGUGCCAGCAGCCGCGGUAAUACGGGGGAUGCAAGCGUUAUCCGGAUUUAUUGGGUUUAAAGGGUGCGUAGGCUGUGAGGUAAGUCAGCGGUGAAAUGCCCCCGCUCAACGGGGUGAAGUGCAAUUGAUACUGCCUGGCUGGAGUGCGGAUGAGGUAGGAGGAAUGUGUGGUGUAGCGGUGAAAUGCAUAGAUAUCACACAGAACACCGAUUGCGAAGGCAUCUCACGAAUCCGCGAUUGACGCUGAUGCACGAAAGCGUGGGUAUCAAACAGGAUUAGAUACCCGAGUAGUC